GAGUUUGAUCGUGGCUCAGGACGAACGCUGGCGGCGUGCCUAACACAUGCAAGUCGAACGGAGAACUCGAAAAGCUUGCUUUGAGAGUUCUUAGUGGCGGACGGGUGAGUAACGCGUGGGCAACCUCCCCCUUAAACCGGGACAACCCUUGGAAACGAGGGCUAAUACCGGAUACGCUUUUCUGAGGACAUCCUCGGGAAAGGAAGGCGGCCUCUGAAGAUGCUGCCGAUAAGGGAUGGACCCGCGUCUGAUUAGCUGGUUGGUGGGGUAAAGCCUACCAAGGCGACGAUCAGUAGCCGGCCUGAGAGGGUGAACGGCCACACUGGGACUGAGACACGGCCCAGACUCCUACGGGAGGCAGCAGUGGGGAAGUCUUCCGCAAUGGACGAAAGUCUGACGGAGCAACGCCGCGUGUAUGACGAAGGCCUCGGUUGUAAGUAC
Molecule: ribosomal RNA, 441 nt
Filed under: bacterium enrichment culture clone ALO1_GLFRUDD03G5U6N
Lineage: Bacteria
Description: bacterial SSU rRNA
Rfam family: Bacterial small subunit ribosomal RNA
Source: RNAcentral